Molecule: ribosomal RNA, 408 nt
Filed under: uncultured bacterium
Lineage: Bacteria
Description: bacterial SSU rRNA
Rfam family: Bacterial small subunit ribosomal RNA
Source: RNAcentral
GGGCCCGCACAAGCGGUGGAGCAUGUGGUUUAAUUCGAUGCAACGCGAAGAACCUUACCAGGGCUUGACAUACUGUGAAUCUCUUGGAAACGAGAGAGUGCCUUCGGGAACGCAGUGACAGGUGGUGCAUGGCUGUCGUCAGCUCGUGUCGUGAGAUGUUGGGUUAAGUCCCGCAACGAGCGUAACCCUUGUUUUUAGUUGCCUUUCGAGGAUAUUUAGAAAGACUGCCGAUUAUAAAUCGGAGGAAGGUAAGGACGACGUCAAGUCAUCAUGCCCCUUACACUCUGGGCUACACACGUGCUACAUUGGGUAGAACAAUAAGUUGCUAAGUUGCGAAACCAAGCGAAUCUUCAAAUCUACUCUAAGUUCGGAUUGUAGGCUGCAACUCGCCUACAUAAAGAUGGAAUC